AGUGAACGCUGGCGGUAGGCCUAACACAUGCAAGUCGAACGGCAGCACAGUAAGAGCUUGCUCUUACGGGUGGCGAGUGGCGGACGGGUGAGGAAUACAUCGGAAUCUACUUUUUCGUGGGGGAUAACGUAGGGAGACUUACGCUAAUACCGCAUACGACCUACGGGUGAAAGCAGGGGAUCUUCGGACCUUGCGCGAUUGAAUGAGCCGAUGUCGGAUUAGCUAGUUGGCGGGGUAAAGGCCCACCAAGGCGACGAUCCGUAGCUGGUCUGAGAGGAUGAUCAGCCACACUGGAACUGGGACACGGUCCAGACUCCUACGGGAGGCAGCAGUGGGGAAUAUUGGACAAUGGGCGCAAGCCUGAUCCAGCCAUACCGCGUGGGUGAAGAAGGCCUUCGGGUUGUAAAGCCCUUUUGUUGGGAAAGAAAAGCAGCAGGUUAAUACCCCGCUGUUCUGACGGUACCCAAAGAAUAAGCACCGGCUAACUUCGUG
Molecule: ribosomal RNA, 492 nt
Filed under: uncultured bacterium
Lineage: Bacteria
Description: partial 16S ribosomal RNA
Rfam family: Bacterial small subunit ribosomal RNA
Source: RNAcentral